CCGUCUAAUGGGGAAGAGGACAGAGAACUAAUGAAAGGUGAACCUGUAAAACAGACCCUGGUGGGUAAAGCCCAUUGGCCCAGUUUCCUCUCCCCACCCCACCUCCACCCCUAAGGUUUUGGCCUUGUGUAAAUAUAUGAGCCUGGAGAUGUAAACUUGGAAGUUGUCAGCUUUGAGAAUUUAUGUGGUCACCAAAGAAAUGAAGGCAGGUAGAGAGCAGAUCCAAAGAUGUAUCUGGAGACAUCCCAAAAUUAUGAGUAUAGGAAUAGGAGAAAUGAGCAGGUCCCUAUCUCUUUGAGGAUAAAUCCAAACCCCAAAGCUUGGUUUGUCAACCAUCAUACCCAUUCCUGGCCCUCGAUGCCUGCACACACCAUGUUGCUGCAUGACUCUGUGCCUUCGCUCAUGCCCUUCCCUCUGCCUUCAUUCUCAUUUUUUUUGUUUGUUUUUUGUCUUUGUGGGGUUUUUUAAAUUUAUUUUUGAAAGAGAGAGCAAGACAGAGUGUGAGCAGGGGAGGAGCAAAGAGAGAGAGAGAGAGAAAAUCUGAAGCAGGCUCCAGGCUCUGAGCUGUCAGCAGAGAGCACAAUGUGGGACUCAAACCCAUGAACCUUGAGAUCAUGACCUAAGCUGAAGUUGGACACUUAACCGACUGAGCCACCCAGGCGCCCCUGCCCUUUUCCUAUGCAGCAAUUAGGCUGUUUCCAUUUCGCACUUUCACAACCAACUCCACGCCGUCCAUUCCUCAGGCGGUUCUUGAUCCUGUGCUCACAUGCAAGACUGCCCAGCUGCGUUCUAGGAAUAGAGAUGUGGCCUGGCGGCCUGGUGGGCCUGCUCAUCUUCCCCUUUACUGGGCAUCCUGAGGGCCCUCCAUGGGGCUGGUACACAUGGGUGCUUUCAUUUCCUGCUGCCCCACAGAAGGGAAGUGCCCGGCCACCGGCUCUGCCCUUGACCCAGGGCAGAUCCCUGUGGCUCCCUAUUCACCACUUCUGCCUGUGUCUGGUUCACAAAGAGGCCUCGCUUACUUUAAUCUUGACUAGAUCUUUCCGGGUCUGUUUCUUUUUGUGCUUUAGUCACCGGUAUUUUGUAUCUGAAACAUGGAGUCAUUUUGCUAUUUGACUGUAGGUCUGUCUUAAGCUACUUUUCUGGGCAUUUCUCCCAUCCCUCAGCACACUUCUGCUUAUGGGCCUCUUGGGCCCAGAAAUACUUUCCCAGGCUUGUCUUGGAGGCUGUAGCACUGUUUGGGCUGAUCUCCGGGUCAUCUUUCUAAGCGUGGUUCAGAUGCCAAGUCUUUCGUUUCCUCCCCCUUUUCCUUCUUCCUGGGAUGGCAGCUGUCAGCACAUUUAUACUCAGGGGACAGCACUAGAGUCCUGGCUUUCUGGCUUUCGCCAGACUGUGACUUUCUGGCAGCUGACCCUCUUCCUUGUCCCAUGACUACCAUCACAUGGUCCCUGACCCCCAAGUGAGAGCCUACAGAGCAUCACUGGGGCAAAGGUGAGGUAUGUGUGGGUGCCCACUGAUUUCCUAUCACUUGAUGACAGUAACGAUAGAAAUCCUGUGAGCAGGCAUUCUGCUAAGGGAUCCGUAUGGCUCUGAAAGACUAUAAAAUGACUAUUCUGUCUCUAUCACGGAUGAGGAAAUUAAGGCUCAGAGAGGUAAAAUGACUUACUCAAGGUAAUACACCCAAAACUACAUUUACCAUUGUUGAUGGCACAUUCACUCCUUUUCCCAAAUUACCCUACAUCCAAAGGACUUUCUGAUGUCUAAGAAGGAAAAUACUAAUGCUUUCCCUUCGUGGUCUAGUGCAGCAACACAAAAUGUCCCUGCAAAGAUUGUAUGGUCACAGCUUUGAAUUUAAUAAGCAAGUCACAGGAUACUCAGCUGAUCAGAGCACAAGUCUGAGACUUCCUAUUUUGCUCCCCAAUAGAUAAAUUUUAUUGCAUUUAAACAUUAUCUCAAAUAGGUCCUGGGACUCAUUUGGCAACUUCUUGCUUCUGUAGCUGAAUGACCUCAGAUCUUUUCAUCAGCCCACCAAUCAGUUCCUUUCUAAGAGACAGAUAACAUCUAAAAUUUUUCUGAUAGCCUGUGAUUGAUUAACUGCUGUAGCUUGCUGAAUCAAAGAAGCUGAGUUUGGUACAAGUUCAAUGCCAGUAACUUUCUGGGCUUGAGAUACUGAACAAGUAAUACCGGGCCUCACUUUACCCAGCAGAUUGAUUUUUUUCAUUCGUGAAAAAUCAGAUUUCAACAAGAGACCCACCCUCCUGAAUACAGAUAUAAAUGGGGGAAGUGAGCACACACAGACCUCCUCCUAAUGGAAACCCAGUGGAACACCCUUGAUCAUGUGCUAUAUUUGACUACAGACUGUGUGAACUGUCACCAGUUUCUCUUUGUCAACCCAGAAUCUCUUGCUUUUCUUUCCAAGGAGGCUGAUUUCUAAAGUGAUGAGGUCCCUCCACAGGAUUCCUCUGGGCUUUCACAAUACCUGGUCUUUCAGAGUGAUAACAUUUCUGGAAUGUGGACAGUCUGGCUAGUGAUAAAUGGUCCCCUUUCUUGCAGUGGAUUCAGCAAAGAGAGCUAUCAGCACAGAGCCCAGCGUGGAGCUUGAUCUCAUGAACCGUGAGAUCAUGACCUGAGCUGAAAUCAAGAGUCGGAUGCUUAACUGAACCACCCAGGCACCCCCUGAUGUUUAUUUUUUUUAACAGCUUUAUUGAAAUAGAAUUCAAACACCACAUAAUUCAUUCAUCUACAGUAUACAAUGCAAUAAUUUUUAGUAUAUUCACAGAUGUGUGUGACCAUCAUUGCAAUCAAGUUUGGAACAUUUUCAUCACCUCAAAAGGAAACUCUGUGCUCUUUGCUUUCUAUCCUUCUAUCCCUCCCAUCCAGUCCUAAGCAACCGUUAAUCUAUUUUUUGUCUAGAUUUUGUAUAGAUUUGUCUAUUCCAGAUGUUUUAUGUAAGUUGAAUUAUAUAAUAUGUGGUCUUUUGCAUCUUUUUAAAAAAAUACUUAUUUAUUUUUUAGAGAGAGACAGUGGGUGAGGGGCAGAGAGACAAAGACAGAGGAUCUGAAGCAGGUAUACCCGGACAACAGAGAGCCCAGUGUGGGGCUUGAACUCACAAACUGUGAGAUCAUGACCUGAGCCAAAGUCGGAUGCUUAACCAACUGAGCCACCCAGGCACCCCUGGGCUUUUGCCUCUUAAUGUUUGAAAAUAAAUGUGUCUAUAUUAUAAUCCUGCUUUGUGAAUUGAGAAUAUGUAAUCAGUGUUUUUAGGUCUGUCACUUUAUACAUUUUUUUCAAGAUUAGCAGAACAUUACGGAAAAUAUGGAAUCACAUUUUCUCCUCCCUUCCCUAAAAAAAAUGCCCAGAGGCGUUUUUUGUUUUGUUUUGUUUUUUCUUUAAGAGUUCACUCCAGGGGAAACAAAAGGAAGAGGAGGAAAAAAUAACAACCCAGGGAGUCAGGAGGUUUUGAACUUGUAUUGAAGUUCUCGCUAUCCAGGCCCUUGAUCUCCAGGCUCUGCCUGCUGUGGGGUCGGAGUUCACCUUUGAGGAGCAAACGUCAGGGAGAUGGGUCAGGGCUGCCUCCUCUCCCAUUUCCAGACUGCAGAGCUGCUCUGCCGAUAGGAAGGAUGCUUGAGGACAUCCCAGAGAUGGACUUUCAAAGGGGUAAGAGUAGAGAAAAGAGAUGAAUGUCCCGUUGUCUGGAGGAGGGAGGAUUUAUCAGAGCAAGGACUGAAGAUGAAGUAGUUGCCAACAGCCCAGGCCAGCUCUCAAGCCUGGCUCGGGGAGCCAUAGGGUACUUCAGGGUGCAGAGGGCAUUCUUCAAGGUCAGCCACAGGACAGGCAUCAGCUAAGGCAGCGAAUGAAAGCUCUGCUUGGGUCCUGACCCUGAGGAGGGAGCUUGUCAAACUGAUCCACUCCUGAUUUCACCUUUAGGGAAGAUCAACCAGGUCCCUGCUCCCACAACAGUCCCUUUCCUUAGCAAAAAUGACAAUCCCUAGUCUCGAAUAUUGGGCAGGAAGCAUACAACUCUAAGACAUGAUCCAGAAGUGAGUGGCUGAACUCACGGAGUUCAGUAGAUGCUCUAAGGAGGAGGGUGGCUCUGGAAACCUCAAAAUCCAAAUUCUACUGGGUAAUGUCAAAUGAGUGGGGGAGGGGGAGUCGUUCUGGCUGAACUGGAGCAGACGGGAAACAUAAAACAAGGCAAACAGGUCCAGUGCCGUGUGGAGACCUGGUUUACAAUAAGAAGACAAGAGGGGGAAACACAAAAACAGGCUAACGUGAUCAUAAGAGGCUUUGAAGUUGUGUUUGGAACAAGAACAUGGUGACUGGCUGCCUGCAGCUUGUCUUACACCUCAGCUGUCUGGGAAAGUGAUCUUCAGAUUAGAAAUGGAAGAAUAGGGGCACCUGGGUGGCUCAGUCAAUUAAGCAUCAGAUUUCUGGUCUUGGCUCAGAUCAUGAUCUCAUUCAUUGUUUUGAUCGAGCCCCACAUUGGGCUCUGCACUGACAGUGAGGAGCCUGCUUGGUAUUCUCUCUCUCUCUCUCUCUCUCUCUCUGCCCAUCCCCCGCUCACUCUCUUUAAAUAAAUAAACUUAAAAAAAAAGGAAUAGAAGAAUAAAUAUCAGUAAAGGAAUCUGAAAGCCGAGUGUAGUGGGUUGAAUGUGCCUCUCCCCACUUCAAAUUCAUGUUCACCCAGAACUUCAGAAUGUGACUGUAUUAGUUUUCUAGGGUUGGUGUAACACACUAUCACUCUAGCAGCUUUCUCAUGGAUUCUUUGGGAUUUUCUAAAUACAGAAUCCUGCCAUCCAUGAACAGACAUAGUUUUAUCUCUUUCCAGUUUGGAGGUCUUUUAUUUCUUUCUCUUAUCUAAUUGCACUGGCUACAAUAUUGAAUAGCAGCAGUAAAAGCGGGCAUCCUUGUCUUGUUCCUUAUCUUAAGGGAAAGGCUUUCAGUCUGUGAAUAUGAUGUUUACUGUGGGUUUUUCAUAAAUGCCCUUUAUCUAGCAAAUAAUCAACAUUAAAAUUUUCUUGUCCAUAAUGAGAUAUUGUAUAUGCAGAACACCCUAAUUAUUAAUAAGCCAAUGUAUUAUGAUACUGAUAAAAAAGAUUAUCGUAAUUGUAUAAAUAAAUACAUGCCUUUUAUUAUGUUUAGGAAAUUUCCCUUUAUUCCUACUUUUGAGUUAUUUAUUUAUUUAUUUAUUUAUAAUUUGAUUUGAGAGAGAGGGAGUGUGCACGUGUGCACACGUGAGCAGGGGAGGAGCCAAGGGGAAGAGAUAGAGACAAAGGGAGAGAGAGAGAGAGAAAGAGAGAGAGAGAGAGAAAAUCUCAAGCAGGCUCCACACUCAGCACAGAGCCUGAUGCCGGGCUCAAUCCCAGAACCUGGGAUCAUGACCAGAGAUGAAAUCAAGAGUCGAACACUCAGCUGACUGAGCCACCCAGGCGCCCCACCUGAGAGGUGUUUUUUUUUUAAUGUUUAUUUAUUUUUGAGAGAGAGAGAAACAGAGUGCAAACAGGGGAGGGCAGAGAGAGAGGGAAACACAAUCUGAAGCAGGCUAAAGGCUCUGAGCUGUCAGCACACAGCCCAAUGUGGGGCUUGAACCCACAAACCAUGAGAUCAUGACCUGAGCUGAAGUUGGACACUUAACCGACUGAGCCACCCAGGUGUCCCGAGAGUUUUUUUUUUUUUUUAAUCAAAGUAUAGUUGACAAAAAUAUGGAACGCUUCACAAAUUUGCGUGCCAUCCUUGCACAGGGGCCAUGUUUAGCUUCCCUAUAUCAUUCCAAUUUUACUUGUCAAAGCAAACAUGAUUUUUCUGAGAGUUUUUAUCAUAAAACAAUGUUGGAUAUUGUCAAAUGCCUUUUCUGCUCCAACUAAGAUGAUCAUAUGCUUUUGUCUUCAUUCUAUUAAUGUGAUGUAUCACAUUGACUGAUUUUCUUACGAUGAAUCACACCCUUGCAUUUCUGGGCUAAAUCUUACUUGGUCGUGGUGAAUAAUUCUCUUAAUGUGUUGUUGGAUUCAAUUUGCUAAUAUCUUGUCAAGAAUCUUUGCAUCUAUAUUCAUAAGGGACAUUGAUCUGUAAUCUUCUUGUGAUGUCUUCAUCAGGGUAAUGCUGACCUCAUGGGGUGAGUUAGGAACUGUCUCCUCCUCUUCAAUUUUUUGGAAGAAUUUGAGAAAGAUUGGUGUUAAUUCUUUAAAUAUUUGGUAGAAUUCACUUGUGAAGCCAUCUGGUGCUGGACUUUUCAUUGUUGGGAGCUUUUUGGUUACUGAUUCAAUCUUUUGCUAUAGGUGUGUUCAGAUCUCCCAUUUCUUCUUGAGUCACUUCAGGUCAUUUGCAUGUUUCAAGGAAUUUGUCCGUGUCUUCUGGGUUAUUUAAUUUGUUGGUGCACAACUGUUUAUAGUAUUCUCUUAUAAUCCUUUUUAUCUCUAUAAGCUUAGUAAUAAUGUUCCCAUUUUCACUUCUGAUCUUAGUUACUUAUAUCUUGUUUUUCUGUGUAAGUCUAUGCCAUGGUCUGAAGAUUUGUGUUCCCUCAAAAUUCAUAUGGUAAAUCCUAAUGCUCAAUGUGAUGGUAUUAGGAGGUGGGGCCUUUGGGGUGAUUAGGUCAUGAGGGCAGAGUCUUUAUUCAUGAGAUUAGAGCCCUUAUAUAAGAGGCUUCAGAAAGCAACCUCACCCCUUCUACCAUGCAAGGAUACAAUGAAAAACCUGUGACCCAGAAGAGGGCCCUCAUCUGACCAUGCUGGCACCCUGAUCUUGAACAUCCAAUCUUCAGAGCUAUGAGAAACAGACUUGUUUUAUAUAAGCUAUCCACUCUGUGGUGUUUUGUUCUAACAACCUGACCAGACUAGGAUAGUCUUGCUGAAAGUGUAUCAAUAUUGUCAAUCUUUUCAAAGAAUCAACUUUUUGCUUCAAUGAUUUUUCUCCUCAAUUUUUUUGGGGGUGACACAAUUUAACCCAUAGGAAUGGCUCUAUUUGGACACAGGGUCUUUACAGAUAUAAUUAGUUAAGAUGAGGUCAUAUUGGAUUAGGAUGGGUCCUAAAUCCAGUGACUAAUGUCCUUCUACAUUCCCACCAACAGUACCAAAGUGCCUUCAACUUUUCCACAUUAUUGUCAACACUAGCUAUUUUAUAGGUUUUGAUAGUAGCCAUCCUACUGGGUGUGAGGUGAUAUUCAAUUGCAGGUUUUUUUUAAUGAUUAUUUAUUUAUUUUUGAGAGAUAGAGAGGAAGAGCACAUGUGCAUGGACAUGCACACGAGUUGGGGAGGGGCAGAAAGAGAGAGAGAGAGAGAAUCCCAAGAAAGUUCAGCACAGAGCCCAACAUGGGCUUGAUCUCACAAACUGUGAGACCACAACUUCAGCUGAAAUCCAGAGUCGGAUGCUUAAUAGACUGAGCCACCCAAGUGCCCCCCACCUCAUUGUAGCUUUGAUUUGCAUUUCCCUAUUGAUUAGUGAUACUAAACAUGUUUUUAUGUGCUUAUUGGCCAUUUGUAUAUCUUACUUGGAUAAAUGUCUGUUCAAGGACUUUGCCCAUUUUUGAAUCAGGCUGUUUGUUUUCUUGUGGUUGAAUUGGAGUUAACUAUAGCCUCUGGAUAUUAUUUUCUUAACAGAUACAUGAUUUGCAAAUAUUUUCUCCCAUUCUGUGGGUUGCUUUUUACUCUGUUGCUAGUGUCUUUUGGUGCACAAAAUUCUUAAAUUUUUAUUAAGUCAAUCUAUUUUUUUCCCUUUGGCAUCAUAUCCAAGAAAUCAUUGCCAAAUCCAAUGUCCUGUAGCUUUUACCCUGUGUUUUCUUCCAAGGGUUCUGGGUCUUAUAUUUAGGUCAUAGAUCCAUUUUAGUUCAUUCUGUACAUGGUAUUCAGUAAGGGUCCAAUUUCAUUCUUUUGCACAUGGAUAUUCAGUUUUCUCAGCACCAUUUGGUGAAGACUAUCUUUCCCCACUGAAUGGUUUUGGCACCUUUUUGAAAAUCGUUGGGCUAUAUAUGUGAGAGUUUGUUUCUGAACUCUGUUCUGUUACUCUAUAUGUCUGUCUUUAUGCCACUAUCACACUGGGUUUUUUUUUUUUAAUGUUUUUUUUUUUAUUUUUGAGAGAGAGUAUGAGCAGGGGAGGAGCAGAGAGACAGGGAGACAUAGAAUCUGAAGCAGGAUCCAGGCUUCGAGCUGUCAGCACAGAGCCCAACAUGGGUCUCGAACCCACAAUGGUGAGAUCAUGAGCUGAAGUUGGAUGCUUAACUGACUGAGCCACCCAGGUGUCCUCACACUGGUUUGACUACUAUAGCUUUGCUGUAGGUUUUGAAAUCAGGAAAUAUGAGACCCCAACUUUUUUCCCCCUCACAAUUGUCUUGGUUAUUUGGGGUCUCUUAUGAUUCCAUACGCAUUUUAGGAUGAGUUUUUCUAUUUUUCUAAAAACACGAUUUGGAUUUCGACUUAAAAAUUGCAUUAAACAUGUAGAUCACUAAGUGUCCAUGAACUUGGGAUGUCAUUCCAUUUUAUAAUGUCUUCUUCAAUUUCUUUCAGCAGUGUUUUGUAGUUAUAAUUGUAUAAAUCUUUCACCUCUUUGGUUAAGUUAAUUCAUAUGUAUUUUAUUCUUUUUGAUGCUGUUGUAAAUAAAAUUUUCUUAAUUUAUUUUUUGGAUGGUUCAGUGUUAGUGUGUAGGACUGCAGUUGGUAUUUGUGUGUUACCUCAUAUCUUGCUAAUUUCCUGCAUUUAUUAGUUCUAAUAGUUUUUUUUUAAUUUUUUUAAUGUUUAUUUAUUUUUGAGACAGAGAGAGACAGAGCAUGAAUGGGGGAGGGUCAGAGAGAGAGGGAGACACAGAAUCUGAAGCAGGCUCCAGGCUCUGAGCUGUCAGCACAGAGCCCGACACAGGGCUCGAACUCACGGACCGUGAGAUCAUGACCUGAGCCAAAGUCAGACGCUUAACCAACUAAGCCACCCAGGCACCCCAAGUUCUAAUAGUUUUUUAAUGAAAUCUUUAGGAUCUUCUGCAUAUAUGGCAAUAUUGUCUGUGAAUAGAAAUAAUUUUAUGUCUUUUUUUCCAAUUUGGAAGCUCUUUAUUUCUUUUUCCUGCCUGAUGACUCUAGGUAGGACUUCUAGGAUUAUGUUGAAGAAGUGGGCAUCCUUUUCUUGCUCCUGAUCUUAGAGGGAAAGCUUUCCAUCCUUUUACCUCUGCAUAUGAUGUUUGCUGUAGGUUUUUCAUAUAUGGCUUGUAUUAUGUUGAGUUAGUUUCCUUCUAUUUCUAGUUUGUUGAGUUUUUUCAAGGGCUUUCUCUGAAUCUAUUGAAAUAAUCAUAUGGGGUUUCUUUCCUUCAUUCAGUUAAUGUGGUAUAUCACACUGAUUAAUUUUUGUAUGUUGAACCAUCCUUGCCUUCUAGGGGAACUCUCUCUUGGUCAUAGUGUAUAAUCCUUUUAAUAUGUUAAUAUUACUUUCAGAACUGUGACAUAUUAUAUUUAAUUUAAAGAGGGGGGAUUUCUUGAAGGAAUGGUCAACACUGUCUAGAAUCUCAGAGAGGUCAAGUAGGAUAAGGACUGAGGGAUUUAGUUAUUAAGAGGUUUUUGUUAAACUUGUGCACGAAUGUUCUUUUUAAAAAAAUUGUUUUAAUGUUUAUUUAUUUUUGAGAGACAGACAGAACUUAAGCAGGGGUGGGGGAGGGAGAGAGAGAGGAAGACACAGAAUCUGAAGCAGGCUCUGAGCUGUUAACACAGAGUCUAAUGUGGGGCUCAAAGCCACAAACCAUGUAAUCAUGACCUGAGCUGAAGUUGGAUGCUUAACUGGCUGAGCCACCCAGAUACCCCGUACAUGAAUGUUCUCAGUGGCACUAUUCAUAAUGGCCAAAGGGUGGAAACAACCCAUAUGUUUAUCAUUAAUGGUUAAACAAAAUGUUGUAUAUCAUAAAAUUGAGUAUUAUUCAGCCAUCAAAAGGAAUGAAAUUCUGAUAGAUGCUACAAUGUGGAUGAACCUUGAAAACAUUAUGCUAAGUGAAAAAAGACAGGCGCAAAAAGCCACAUAUGAUAUGAUUCCAUAUAUAUGAAAUAUUCAGUAGACAAGCCAAUAUAGACAGAAAGUAGAUUAAUGGUUUCCAGGGGCUUGGGGGAAGUGCUCAGAUCAGGUUAGGAGGUUGAAGAAGGUGUGAAAGCUUUGGUCUAGGUGCCAUGGGGAGGGGAGGGAAAGUUGAGCAAAAAUAAGUGAAAAACUGAACAUUUGGCUAAGCUUUUAGGCCCAAUCUUGCACAUUCAGAUGCAACAGGAGUUGGUAAGAGAUUGGUGUUACUGAGAACAAGGUGAGUUUGUAGAAUUUCUGUGGGUGAUGUGGUGGCUGAUAGCAGGAUGCUGAUGAGACUGGAAGAAACAGAAAAUUUUCGAGAAAGGGAAGAAGAUGAGUUCCACAAGGUCUAAAUAAACUUAAAGCAUUGAGGGCAAUAUCUGGUCCAUGUAGAAAAUACUUAUUUUUUUUUAAUAUGAAUUUAUUGUCAAAUUGGUUUCCAUACAAUACUUAUUUGUUAGAAAUAAUAGUUGAUUAUUUUGGAGGGGUGUCAGUUUUUUUGAGGUAUAAUUCACAUAUCAUACAAUUCAUCCCCUGUAUUGGUCAACUGUCUUUAAGUUUUUAUUUAUUUAUUUUUGAGGUAGAGAGGAAGAGUGCACACGAGUGGGGGAAGGGCAGAGAGACUCCCAAGCAGGCUCCACGCUGUCAGCACAGAGCCCGACAAGGGGUUCAGUCCCACAAACUGUGAGAUCAUAGCCCGCAUCAGACGUUUAACUGACUGAGCCACCCAGCCACCCCUGGUCAACUAUUUUUUGACCAGCGUACCAAGAUAAUUCAAUUGGGUAUGAAUUGUCUUUUCAACAAAUGGUGCUCAGACACAUAGAUUUCCAUAUGGGAAAGAAUGAAGUUGGACCUUUUCCUUAAUACUAAAUACAAAAAGUAACUCACAUCCUAGUGCACAUGAAGUGAUCUUUCAUUUUGGUUUUGAUUUGUAUUUCCCCAAUGAUUAAUGAUGUUCAAUAUUGCUUAGUGUGCUUAUUGGCCAUUUUUGUAUCUCCUUUGGAGAAAUAUCUCUUCAGAUACUUUGCCCAUUUUUAAUUCAAAUAGAUAAAAUUAAAAUAAAAUUCAACUUAUUGUUGAAUUGUAAAAGUUCAUUUUAUAUUCUGGAUACUAGACCCUUGUCAGGUAUAUGAUUUACAAAUAUUUUCUCCCAUUUAUGAAUGUCUUUUCGUUUCCUUUGAAGCACAAAAGUUUCUGGUGGGCUUCCUUUUGAGGUGAUGAAAUGUUCUAAAAUUGAUUAUGGUGAUUAUUGCACAGCUCUACCAACAUACUAAAAGCCAUUAAACCGAACACUUUAAAAGUGUGUCUCAUGGCAUAUGAAUUAUAACUCAAUAGUGCUAUUAUUUAAAAAAAUAAAGGAAUGAAUGAGUAAAAGGAGUGGAGAAUGUGCAUUUAGAAAAAAAAUUGAUAGGGGAACCUGGAUGGCUCAGUCGGUUAAGCAUUCAGCUCAGGUCAUGAUCUCACAGCUUGAGUUCGAGCCCUGCAUUGGGCUUUGUGCUGACAGCCCAGAGCCUGGAGCCUGCUUCAGAUUCUGUGUCUCCCUCUCUCUCUGUCCCUCCCCCACUUGCGCUCUGUCUCUCUCUCAAAAAUGAACAUUAAAUAAUUUUUUAAAGAAAAAAGAAAAAGAAUUGAUAGAUACUGUGACCCAAUAUAGUUUCACCUAAAUACAAAUCCUAUAAAAAUAACUUCAUCUCCCUUUUUGAUAAAGUUUUUUAUCAGAAUUUUUGAUAACGUUCUUAAUCCCUUUUAGACCUGGGUGAGGGAAUGCUCUAACAAAGGCUAUCUGGAUUUCAGUAAGAUAUUUGAAAAAUCUAGAACAGAUGACAGCAUUACUGAUCUCACAGUUUGUGGGAUAGAGGCCCGUGUUGGGCUUUGUGCUGACAGCAUAGAACCUGCUUGGGAUUCUAUCUCCCUCUGUCUGUCAAGCUGCUACUGCUUGAACUUUCUCUCUCUCUCUCUCAAAAACAAAUAAACACUUAAAAAAAGUAAGCUGGAAAAAGUUCUCAGAUUAUAUGCCAUAGGGCUUCAGUCAUCUGCAUUACUUUCUUCAUCAUUUUUAUUGGUGAUUUCAGAGGAGAAAAAUAGAUAAAAUCCUGAUCAAACUUGCAGGAGUCAGAGAACCAAGCCAACUUUGGAUGAAUUCUACAAGGGAAAAUUUUAGUUUGUACUUUUUCAAAUAAUUACAGAAUACAGGAGGAGACAUAGUUCCACAGUGCUCAUGUAGAACAUAACUCUGGAGUUUUGACUUUGAGUCUACCUGCUUUGUGGUAGAUGUCAAUGCAAUCUUGGUUCAAAAGAACAGUAAUCAUAUGUUCUGGACAUCAGUGGCUGCUAAACCCACAGCCAUUGCUCCCCUCUUUUCUUCCUUGUAGACCUGGAUUUUGUUCAGAAGACAACAGGCUCAGGGAUGUGGGGCCUGCCCCAAUCCACAAGGGAUGAUUAAAGUUUAGCGUAAGAGCCAGUAAGACAACCUCUUUCCCUUUUGCAAGGAACUUGCUUUCUCAGCAUUCCUGGAAGCUAAGAGUAUAGAAUGCAAGAGAGAUAAAUUGAGGUAAGAACGGUUAAGCAGGGGCACCUGGGUGGCUCAGUGGGUUAAGCAGCCGACUUCAGCUCAGAUCAUGAUCUCAUGGUCUGUGAGUUCAAGGCCUGCACCGGGCUCUGCACUGACAGUGUAAAGUCUAUUUGGGAUUCUUUCUCUCCCUCUCUCUCUGCCCCUCCCCUGCUCACAAUUUCUCAAAAUAAAUAACCUUAAAAAAAAAAAAAGAA
Molecule: long non-coding RNA, 12779 nt
Organism: Acinonyx jubatus (cheetah)
Lineage: Eukaryota; Metazoa; Chordata; Mammalia; Carnivora; Felidae
Exons: 2
Source: RefSeq, a predicted model, not a curated record